GGGGGGGGGGGGGGGGGGGGGGGGGGGGGGGGGGGCGGGGGGGGGGGGGGGGCUUGCGGGGUGGGCGGGGGGCGGACGGGUGGGUGAGACGUGGGUGGUCUGCCCUGCACGUCGGGGUAGGCCUGGGAGACUGGGUCUAGUACCGGGUAGGAGCCAUUUUUAGUGUGAUGGUUGGAACGUUUUUUCGGUGUAGGAUGAGCUCGCGGCCUAUCAGCUUGUUGGUGGGGUAAUGGCCUACCAAGGCGGCGACGGGUAGCCGGCCUGAGAGGGUGGACGGCCACAUUGGGACUGAGAGACGGCCCAGACUCCUACGGGAGGCAGCAGUGGGGAAGAUUGCACAAUGGGCGCAAGCCUGAUGCAGCGACGCCGCGGGGGGGAUGACGGCCUUCGGGUUGGAAACUCCUUUCGCUAGGGACGAAGCUUUUUGUGACGGUACCUAGAUAAGAAGCACCGGCUAACUACGUG
RNAcentral lists this ribosomal RNA (465 nucleotides) under uncultured bacterium. RNAcentral's name for it is "partial 16S ribosomal RNA". The stretch from base 52 to 465 matches the Rfam family "Bacterial small subunit ribosomal RNA", at positions 35 to 507 of the family's 1533-position model. The record is from RNAcentral.